Xenia sp. Carnegie-2017 is the source of this 401-nucleotide long non-coding RNA. RefSeq lists it as uncharacterized. Lineage: Eukaryota; Metazoa; Cnidaria; Anthozoa; Malacalcyonacea; Xeniidae. The record is from RefSeq and is a predicted model, not a curated record. The transcript is spliced from 5 exons.
AAAAGGAAGCUUACGACCAAUGUUGAUAAGGCUAUUGGGGAAACACGUCAGGAAAAGUCCCUUUGAAACAACUCUACUAUAGCAUUGCAAUAAAGAUGUGUAUAAAUGAUCUGAUGUCUUGAGCUGUCUUAGUUACGUCAUGCCAAAAACGCAGUACCGUGUGCUUUACAUUACGAGAACAUAAAUGUUAAACUCAUAGCUGAAGGAAAGUGCUCUGCUCCUCUUUUUGUGCUGGAAGCUGACACUUUUACUCUUCUGAACAUUUUCAGGUUUUACAAAUUUCCAUGUUUGUACUUAAUAACUCUAAUAUACUGCAUAUCUUUUGGAUCUAUUUUUUGUACCAGACCUUGAUAAUGUCGUCGGAACACAUACCUUUAUUAUCUUCCAUGGAUCAAGAAGAC